RNAcentral lists this small RNA (260 nucleotides) under Arabidopsis thaliana (thale cress). RNAcentral describes it as "ATSL135230". The record is from RNAcentral. Lineage: Eukaryota; Viridiplantae; Streptophyta; Magnoliopsida; Brassicales; Brassicaceae.
AUCUUUUUAAUUAGAAACACAUUCCCAUUAAUUAUUAGAGCAUCUCCAUUUGAAGUAUCUCAAUAAGAUACCCAAUAAAAAAAAAAAAUAAUUAAAGAAGAAAAAGUAUGAUAGAAGGAAAAAAAAGUAGAAGAGAAGGAGAGUUGAAUUUCUCUUCCGAGAAACUUUGAGAAACUAUUCUCAUCCAAUUUGGACAAGUGUCAUCAUACUAUUAAUUCAAUUAUUAAAUAAUAAUUAAUGUAUCUGUUUUAAUUAAAAUA